Molecule: long non-coding RNA, 1606 nt
Filed under: Sorghum bicolor (sorghum)
Lineage: Eukaryota; Viridiplantae; Streptophyta; Magnoliopsida; Poales; Poaceae
Description: long non-coding RNA (SBIC_LNC003293)
Source: RNAcentral
AAUCUUAAUAAUAAAACUCUAGCAUGGAUAUGAUGAAUAGUUACUCUGCCUAAUUUUCAAAUUUGAGUUUUCUCUCUAGUUUAGACAUAACUGUUAUAAUUUAAAGCUUGCUCUAAACCUAAACUUGUGGGAAGAAAACUUGAUCUGAAGUCUAAGUUGUUAAUAGAUAUGAUAUAGAAAGGUUGAGCUGUUGUUUAUCUGUUCCUAGAGAUGCUAAAAUUCUGGAGAAUUUUAUUUUUGAAAAAUCUUUAAAAUAUUGCAUGAUGAGUUCCUGUAUGAUGAGAGUUUAAAUUCCUGUAUGGUUGAGCCACACAUUUACUUUUUACUACUUAUGAGCAUUGAGUGUGGUCAAGCUGUGUAGACCCUUAGGAGCUUGUCAUGUGGUUAAAUCAAGAUUCACUUGCACGUUCACUCACAUAUGCUGCUUCUACUCCGGAUGUACCAUCCACAUAUAUCCACUCAUUUCCAUCUCCAGAACCACCCAAAAAUAUUCUACUCCUAAUCCGGGAGAGAAUAGCCAAAAACAUUUCUGUUUUCCCCUGUGAAAUAAAUGCUCAAGUUAUCUUGUUACUAUCGCUUGCUAUAUUAUUUCAAGAGAUGAGUGCUCUAAAAAAAGAUACGAGAAAAUAAAAAUGGGCAAGUGCCUAGAACCUCGAAAGAAAAGAAAAAGUAAGACAAGAGGUAAAAAUGGACAAGUGUCCGACAGUAGAAUUAGGGGUACAAGAUACCCACCUGAGAGGAAAGAAAAAGAAAAGAUAGAGCAUCUCAUUCUCAUCACAAAUUUUCAAAAAGCAAGAAAGGUAUGUAUCUCCUCAAAGAGCAAAUGUAGAAUUAGACUUUCACCAUUGUUAUCACCAUCAUCACCAUACACCAUUCAUUCGCCACACAUGCACACCUUGAUUUAACUUAUUGACUUGUUACUUUGGAUCCAUGGUUUGACUAUACAAUAAAUGUCUUGUAAGUAUGUAUAUUUUAUCUCCCACCUAUGAGCUCCAGAUAUUAAAGCCUUAUUAGAGUAGGGUGAGAGAGAAGGCAAUGUCACUAUGCUUUAUACCACAAAUACCACAUAUAUUGAGAGAAGGCAUAUACCAUCACUGCCUUGGUAAGGAUCUAGAAAUACAACAAAAGAGAGAUCUAAGAGAGUCAUACAAGGAAUCUCUGAGUUUUAUUUAAAAAUCUGCAAAAACUCCAGAGCUAUAGCUGAUCAAGAAUAAGAGACAUGGCACUUGACUAGACUGUUCUAUCUUUUAACUACUCAAGACAGAAGUGACGGUUACAAGUCCCAUGGUGAAAGGUAAAGUAAGUAAGUUUUAAGCCUUGAUAGUUUACUCUAACUCAGAGAUGAGACCUCAUAUUAAAAGCAUGUGUACCGUGAAUUUUUAAAAGAUAAUGCAACAACUUAUGAUCCAUCACUGAGUCUAUCCUUGCUCAGGGACGAGCAGGAGGUAAGCUUGGGGGAGUUUGUUGACGGUCCUUAAAUAUCAAAUUUAAUUAUCAAAUAAACAAAGAAAAGGAUCCAAAUGAAAUCAACAUCCAGACUUAGGAUUUUAUCUGACAGAAAUCCAUGAGUUUUGGUGUUUGUCUAUUUCUGCAGGGGGUUAUCAGG